AGAGUUUGAUCAUGGCUCAGAACAAACGCUGGCGGCGUGCCUAACACAUGCAAGUCGUACGAGAAAUCCUGGGCAACUGGGAAAGUAAAGUGGCGCACGGGUGAGUAACGCGUGGGUAACCUGCCCUUGAAUUGGGGAUAACUCCGCGAAAGCGGGGUUAAUACCGAAUAAUACUCCGAUCUCCACGGAGGUUGGAGUCAAAGGUGGCCUCUGCAUGCAAGCUACUGUUUAAGGAUGGGCCCGCGUACCAUUAGCUUGUUGGUAGGGUAACGGCCUACCAAGGCAUCGAUGGUUAGCUGGUCUGAGAGGAUGGCCAGCCACACUGGAACUGAGACACGGUCCAGACUCCUACGGGAGGCAGCAGUGGGGAAUCUUGCGCAAUGGGGGAAACCCUGACGCAGCAACGCCGCGUGGGUGAUGAAGGCCUUCGGGUCGUAAAGCCCUGUCGGGUGGGAAGAACCGUACUGGUAUAAACAAUGCUAGUGCCUGACGGUACCACCGAAGGAAGCACCGGCUAACUCCGUGCCAGCAGCCGCGGUAAUACGGAGGGUGCAAGCGUUGUUCGGAAUUACUGGGCGUAAAGCGCGUGCAGGCGGUUGAGCAAGUCAGAUGUGAAAGCCUUCCGCUUAACGGAAGAAGUGCAUUUGAAACUACUCAGCUAGAGUUCGAGAGAGGAGAGUGGAAUUCCCGGUGUAGAGGUGAAAUUCGUAGAUAUCGGGAGGAACACCGGUGGCGAAGGCGGCUCUCUGGCUCGAUACUGACGCUGAGACGCGAAAGCGUGGGGAGCAAACAGGAUUAGAUACCCUGGUAGUCCACGCCGUAAACGAUGGGCACUAGGUGUAGGAGGUAUUGACCCCCUUUCUGUGCCGAAGCUAACGCAUUAAGUGCCCCGCCUGGGGAGUACGGCCGCAGGCUAAACUCAAAGGAAUUGACGGGGGCCGCACAAGCGGUGGAGCAUGGUGGGUUCAGUUCGACGCCAACG
Molecule: ribosomal RNA, 982 nt
Filed under: uncultured Syntrophus sp.
Lineage: Bacteria; Pseudomonadati; Thermodesulfobacteriota; Syntrophia; Syntrophales; Syntrophaceae
Description: bacterial SSU rRNA
Rfam family: Bacterial small subunit ribosomal RNA
Source: RNAcentral